This is an RNA transcript of Drosophila montana, 2551 nucleotides long. It is a transcript of the gene named Tetraspanin 97E, with no coding region annotated. The record is from RefSeq and is a predicted model, not a curated record. The transcript has 5 exons. NCBI's taxonomy places the organism in Eukaryota, Metazoa, Arthropoda, Insecta, Diptera, Drosophilidae.
AUUACAGUGAAAGUGAAACCUGCGCCACAGACGAAUAAAACACUAGCUACAUUUUUCAAAUUUAAGAAUUAAACAAAAUUAGGAAAUUAUAAAAAAGCACAACAAAACAAAAGUUCAAACAAAUAGCAAAAUGUGUGGUGGUUUUACCUGCUCCAAGAACGCGCUAAUUGCGCUUAACAUUUUGUAUGUGUUGAUUGGUUUCUUGCUGAUUGGCGUCGGUGUCUAUGCACGGGCGGCCUCCGUUGUCACGAAUCUGCCAAUUGUUGGAGGCAUUCUCGCCUGCGGGGUGAUACUCAUCUGCAUAUCCAUGCUGGGCCUUGCUGGCGCCGUCAAGCACCAUCAAGUGAUGCUCUUCUUUUACAUGAUAAUUUUGUUCAUGCUCUUCCUCAUCCAGUUCUCCAUUGCCAGCUCCUGUUUGGCCGUUAACUCCGAGCAGCAGCAACAGUUCGCUGAGCAGGGCUGGAAGACGGUGCCACCCAAGCUGCGUAAACAGGUGCAGGACAGUUUCCUUUGCUGCGGCUUCAAUGCCACCAGCAACAGCGUCACCAAUGGCGAGGAGCCCAGCUGCGAGUUAAUCAAUAGAGAGUGCUGUGCCGACUCCAAGGAUCCGUUGUGUCGUUGCGGACCCUGCGGCCCCUUGUUGGAGGAUAAGAUUAACUAUGCUUUCAAGCUGUGCGGCGGUCUGGGCAUCUUCUUCAGCUUCACUGAGUUCGUUGGUGUCUGGCUAACAGUGCGCUAUCGCAAUCAAAAGGAUCCGCGCGGCUUGCCCAGCGCCUUCCUCUAAAUUGCAUACUAAACAAAAAAUAUAAAUAACAAAUACUAAUUGCAGACGCACAAGCGCUCAAAACGCAUGUGUGUCUACUAAAGAAAAAGUUAAUGUCAAUGUGUAAAUUUCAUAUUCAUGCAACAAUCGUGGGUCUAUUAGAUCAACUUUGUGGUUAGCUGCUAUCAUACGGCAUACAUAAUAUAGAAGCAUAUUUAUAUUUAUACAAGCAUCUCUUACACAUGCAUAACUGCAUGCCCGCAUACAUACUAGCAAGUACUUUGUACUUACGGGAUGUGGUAAUAUAUAACUAAGUACGCAUUAUGCAUUAGGCCAUACAUACACACAUUUACAACUCUAGAAAUACUACAUAUACAUAUAUAUAUAUAUAUAUAUAUAUAUAUAUAUAUACAAGAUAUAGAUGCGUGUUUAGUCCUUUAUAACAAACACCAGCAAUCAAGUGUUUUUCGAACUGAACAUUAAACAUAUUUUACACCCACAUACUUGCACACAUCUGUAUACUUCUUCCCCAUAUAUUUCUUCAUACACUAACAAACUCUUUGGCGACGUAUCCUAACUAAACUAAAGUAUCUAAAAAAAUUUAAACUCGGCUAAGGCAUCUGGUUUUGGCCGUUUUUCUGGCGCGUCGCUAUCGCAACCAGCACGAUCCCUGCUAUUUGCCCGCACGCGCUGUUUUUCCACACAACUAUCAGUACUAAGUGGGCCACAUAGGAGCUGCAUGAGAUCAAAGAGCCAAGGCGCUGGCAAUUUUUAGUCAAAGGGACGAAGGCUGAUUUAUAAUUUUGUACACAAAUUUCCUAGCAUGAGCUGAGUCAAAGCAAAUUUCAGAGACCUCGUCUAAAAGUCCUUUGAAUAUGUGCAUUAAGCGCUUGAUCAGUUUCUAGUUUUAAUUGUUAUAAAGUGUUUAAGUUACCCAAUUGAGAUUACAAUAUGUUUGGUGUUCACUAUGUAAUAUUUGUAUAUUUUAUUUUAAUUGUACAAUUUUUUCUUUAUUUCUUAAGUUAGCUUACUAAGAGUAUUUUAUUUUUGUUUGCAACUGGCAACAAUCAGAAAACACAACUGCUGUACCACAAAAGAACAAGAAAUAAUAAUGAAAAAUAACUUUAUAACCAUUUCGAACCUGAUAUAAGCGUAGAACCAAGUCAAAUGAAACUAGCAACUGUAACUGUGUUUUAACAAAGCGUAACAUAUACAUAAAGCAACUUAUAUACAUCUACAUACUAUAUAUAUACAUAUACAUAAAUAUAUACAUAAAUAAUUCAAGAUAUAGAUGUUAGAUGUGUGUUAAAACUUUGAGAUUAGUACUUAUAUUGCAUAAAAAAAAAACCAACAAUACAUGUCAAGAAAUAUUUCUAAAGUCUUAAAAUAUCAAAUACCCUUUCAAAGAUAAAACACCUUGAGCUAUGUUUUGCCCUCUUUGCUUUUUCUUCUCGUUUUCUUUUCAUCCUCUGCAUAUAUCUAUAUAUUUUCCAAUUACUCUGCGGCGCCUACUGCUGCCUUCGCUGCUUGCACCCACGCAGGCAAACACACAAAGCUAGCUUUAGCUAUUCUCUUUUUCUUGCCGCACAACUACAAACACCUAAACGAACACAGGCACACACACAAAUACACACACACCCCCACAUAAUACAACCAACAAGUUGAGAUAGUUUUUCUCAUGUGUUUCGUUUCGUAUUUCCUUUCGAGCGACAAAGAAAUCAUUAAAUAAAAAUUCUCUGUAUUCUGUGCUGUGAUUGAAGUAAACAUGAUCUUUAAAAACCAAAUAAA